CCUACGGGUGGCAGCAGUGGGGAAUAUUGCACAAUGGGCGAAAGCCUGAUGCAGCAACGCCGCGUGAAGGAAGACGGUUUUCGGAUUGUAAACUUCUGUUCUUCGUGAAGCAUAAUGACGGUAACUAAGGAGCAAGCCACGGCUAACUACGUGCCAGCAGCCGCGGUAAUACGUAGGUGGCAAGCGUUGUCCGGAAUUACUGGGGGUAAAGGGAGCGUAGGCGGGAAGACAAGUCAGCUGUGAAAACUACGGGCUUAACCUGUAGACUGCAGUUGAAACUGGCUUUCGUGAGUGAAGUAGAGGUUGGCGGAAUUCCGAGUGUAGCGGUGAAAUGCGUAGAUAUUCGGAGGAACACCGGUGGCGAAGGCGGCCAACGGGGGUUUAACUGACGCUGAGGCUCGAAAGUGUGGGGAGCAAACAGGAUUAGAUACCCUUGUAGUC
RNAcentral lists this ribosomal RNA (441 nucleotides) under uncultured bacterium. RNAcentral's name for it is "partial 16S ribosomal RNA". It matches the Rfam family "Bacterial small subunit ribosomal RNA", at positions 338 to 795 of the family's 1533-position model. The record is from RNAcentral.